UAGUGGUUAACGGAGCUCUCUACAAGCCAACUCUGAAAGGAAGUGAUGGCACAGUGCCACAGCUGCUAGUUCAUGGUCACCCCUGCCUCUGCCUCCGCACCAAUUUUCCUCUCCGACACCACGAAGGGUGGCGCAGGCUAGGGUUUGCAUGAACUAGGAGUCGUGGGUUGCCUUCAUCUUUUGGUUUUGGUUUGAAGGGAGCUCCCUUUUGCUCUUUC
Molecule: microRNA precursor, 218 nt
Filed under: Corchorus olitorius
Lineage: Eukaryota; Viridiplantae; Streptophyta; Magnoliopsida; Malvales; Malvaceae
Description: MIR159 microRNA precursor family
Rfam family: MIR159 microRNA precursor family
Source: Rfam by way of RNAcentral